AUGAACGCUGGCGGCGUGCUUAACACAUGCAAGUCGAGCGAUGAAGUUUCCUUCGGGAAACGGAUUAGCGGCGGACGGGUGAGUAACACGUGGGUAACCUGCCUCAUAGAGUGGAAUAGCCUUCCGAAAGGAAGAUUAAUACCGCAUAAUGUUGAAAGAUGGCAUCAUCAUUCAACCAAAGGAGCAAUCCGCUAUGAGAUGGACCCGCGGCGCAUUAGCUAGUUGGUGGGGUAACGGCCUACCAAGGCGACGAUGCGUAGCCGACCUGAGAGGGUGAUCGGCCACAUUGGGACUGAGACACGGCCCAGACUCCUACGGGAGGCAGCAGUGGGGAAUAUUGCACAAUGAGGGCAACCCUGAUGCAGCAACGCCGCGUGAGUGAUGAAGGUUUUCGGAUCGUAAAGCUCUGUCUUUGGGGAAGAUAAUGACGGUACCCAAGGAGGA
RNAcentral lists this ribosomal RNA (444 nucleotides) under uncultured Clostridium sp. Its description in RNAcentral is "bacterial SSU rRNA". It matches the Rfam family "Bacterial small subunit ribosomal RNA", at positions 29 to 488 of the family's 1533-position model. The record is from RNAcentral. Lineage: Bacteria; Bacillati; Bacillota; Clostridia; Eubacteriales; Clostridiaceae.